UGGGCAAUCUGCCCUUCUCUUCGGAAUAAGCGUUGGAAACGACGUCUAAUGCCGAAUACGACCUCCUUUCGCAUGAUCGGAGGUGGAAAGCUCCGGCGGAGAAGGAUGAGCUCGCGGCCUAUCAGCUAGUUGGUGUGGGUAAUGGCCCACCAAGGCGACGACGGGUAGCCGGCCUGAGAGGGUGACCGGCCACACGUGGGACUGAGACACGGCCCAGACCUCCGUACGGGAGCAGC
RNAcentral lists this ribosomal RNA (236 nucleotides) under uncultured bacterium. RNAcentral's name for it is "partial 16S ribosomal RNA". It matches the Rfam family "Bacterial small subunit ribosomal RNA", at positions 118 to 352 of the family's 1533-position model. The record is from RNAcentral.